UAGAGCUUCUGGGAAGAGUCAAGGGUUGGCUGCUGAAAAUUGGAUGCACUGAGAAGUGGUUCUUGUUCCUCCCACUUACUUUGCGUGGGGCUGAGAAGAAAGGCACAAGUCUCAGCUCUGGAUGGAGAGGCCCAUUGGGAGGCUAGGUCUCUGUGCCGCCCGGCAGCCUGGUCACCUAGGUGACCGGUGGGCCGGAGGACUCCAGCUGCCGGAGCUGAGCGGCUGCCUAGGGUGAGGAGACUGAGUUCGGAGAUGAUGCCAGCCGUUGCCUACCCAUGUCGGAUCCCGCAGACGCCCACCGUUCUUGAUUCAGUACACUCUUAGCAGUAUGUCUUUCCUCUAUGGCACCUUCUCCUGAGUUCCUUGUUCGCAGCUUCCAGGACCUUGACAAAUGCUCAAGGUCAAGGUUCCCAGGGAUAAAUCCCAGUGUUUACCUCAA
Molecule: long non-coding RNA, 439 nt
Organism: Peromyscus eremicus (cactus mouse)
Lineage: Eukaryota; Metazoa; Chordata; Mammalia; Rodentia; Cricetidae
Exons: 2
Source: RefSeq, a predicted model, not a curated record